UACGUAGGUGGCAAGCGUUGUCCGGAAUUAUUGGGCGUAAAGCGCGCGCAGGCGGUCCUUUAAGUCUGAUGUGAAAGCCCACGGCUCAACCGUGGAGGGUCAUUGGAAACUGGGGGACUUGAGUGCAGAAGAGGAAAGCGGAAUUCCACGUGUAGCGGUGAAAUGCGUAGAGAUCCGGAAGAACACCAGUGGCGAAGGCGGCCCGCUGGGCAGUGGCUGACGCUGAGGCGCGACAGCGUGGGGAGCAAACAGG
Molecule: ribosomal RNA, 253 nt
Filed under: uncultured bacterium
Lineage: Bacteria
Description: partial 16S ribosomal RNA
Rfam family: Bacterial small subunit ribosomal RNA
Source: RNAcentral